UCGAGGAACAUUAACAUAGCGUACCGUGUAUCAGUCGAUCGACAUGUGCUCCAAAAAGUCACCGCGAAUACUCUCGAUACAGAGUCACGUGGUAUUCGGUUACGUUGGAAAUAAAAGUGCAACAUUUCCAUUGCAGUUAUUAGGAUUUGAGGUAGAUGCAAUUAAUUCUGUUCAACUCUCUAAUCAUACUGGCUACAAGGUCUUUAAAGGUCAAGUACUAAAUGAUAAAGAUUUAGAGGACUUGGUGGAUGGCUUAGCACAAAACGAUUUAGACAAUUACACUCAUUUACUCACUGGCUAUGUUGGUUCUGCUUCAUUUUUGAAGAGAAUAGCAGGGGUGGUUCGCGCCUUGAAACGCAAAAAUCCCGAUCUCAUAUAUGUGUGUGAUCCUGUUAUGGGAGACGAUGGAAAAAUGUAUGUACCCGAGGCACUGAACGAAAUUUAUAAAAGAGAAAUAGUGCCAUUGGCAGACAUUUUAACACCAAAUCAAUUUGAAGUGGAACUACUAACGGGUAUAAAAGUCGGUACAAUACCUGAACUACGAAGUGCUAUAAAAGAAUUACAUAAAGCUGGUCCUCAAAUAGUAGCCGUCUCGUCAACGGAAAUUCAUAACAAAUUAACAGCAAUCUUCAGUACGAUAAAAGACAAUAAAGUAAUAAAAAUCGACAUACCAAAAAUACCAACUAGCUUCACGGGUUCCGGGGAUCUUUUCGCCGCCCUGUUUUUAGCUCACACAUACUUGCAAGACAGUAUGGAGGCCGCCAUCGAAAGGACUGUUAAUUCGCUCUAUUGCGUUCUAUUAGAAACUUACGAACAUUCCAAAGCAUGCCAAGAUAAGGAGUCGCAACCUGCAAAGAGGAUCGAGUUACGUUUGAUACAAAGCAAGAAUCACAUUGAAAAUCCAAAGAUGCAUCUACACGCUGUGCCUCUUUAACUCCGAUUUUGUUACAACUGUGUAUACCUUUUAAAAUAAGCAGAAACUGUUGUUAUCGAGAGUGUACAAAAUUAUUCGCAAUAAUUUUUCAACGUCAAACGUGGUACGAUGUUCAUAGAUUGUAGUUCUUGGAAAAGUAACUUGCAGGCGUAGGGCAUGGAAAUCGUGGAAACGCACGAACUGGAACGACAA
RNA transcript from Colletes gigas, 1126 nucleotides. It is a transcript of the gene named pyridoxal kinase, with no coding region annotated. Lineage: Eukaryota; Metazoa; Arthropoda; Insecta; Hymenoptera; Colletidae. The transcript is spliced from 8 exons. The record is from RefSeq and is a predicted model, not a curated record.